GGGGGUGACUGGUUUCGACUUGGGAUGGAUUUCCUGAGGGAAGCGGGUCGAGGAUCCUAAGACGUCUCGUUAACGAUAUUAGGAAUCAAAAUAUAAGUGCCAACACUAAUCGCACUGACUUCGCUCUGGCUGCGUAAAGCUAUCCGAAGGGUCAGCCCGGAUGCGCCUUUCGUCCGGAACCUGGCCUCGUCUAAAAGGCUCGCUGUAUAAGCCGUGUUCAAGGGCUUGUACGGGACUUUUACUUGAACUGAGCCCGUCCGGGGAUUUGCUGGCGAACAACCCGGGGGCCGAGAAAAACGCCUAGCCAGCUGCACCCGGAGAAUACUCACGAGUCCUUUCAAGGACACGGGUUCAAUUCCCGUCACCUCCACUA
This 373-nucleotide transfer-messenger RNA is filed under the name Propionibacteriaceae bacterium. It matches the Rfam family "transfer-messenger RNA". Rfam says of the family: Bacterial tmRNA, also known as 10Sa RNA or SsrA, is named for its dual tRNA and mRNA-like properties. Lineage: Bacteria; Bacillati; Actinomycetota; Actinomycetes; Propionibacteriales; Propionibacteriaceae. The record is from RNAcentral.